CAAUNCNCCCAACGGGUGAGUAACGCGUGGAUGACCUGCCCUUUAGUGGGGAACAACCAGGGGAAACUCUGGCUAAUACCCCAUAAGACCGAAAGGUGAAAGGGGGCCGCAAGGCUCUCGCUGAAGGAGGGGUCCGCGUCCGAUUAGCUAGUUGGUAGGGUAAUGGCCUACCAAGGCGACGAUCGGUAGCCGGCCUGAGAGGGUGAUCGGCCACACUGGAACUGAGACACGGUCCAGACUCCUACGGGAGGCAGCAGUAGGGAAUAUUGGUCAAUGGGUGAGAGCCUGAACCAGCCAUGCCGCGUGCAGGAAGACGGCCUUCUGGGUUGUAAACUGCUUUUGCCAGGGGCUAAAAAGUCCAUGCGUGGAAAAAUUGAAAGUACCUGGUGAAUAAGCCACGGCUAACUACGUGCCANCAGCCGCGGUAAUACGUAGGUGGCAAGCGUUGUCCGGAUUUAUUGGGUUUAAAGGGUGCGUANGCGGCUCUGUAAGUCAGUGCUGAAAUAUCCCGGCUUAACUGGGNAGGGUGGCCNUUGAUACUGUGGGGCUANAGUACAAAUGAAGUAGGCGGA
This 572-nucleotide ribosomal RNA is filed under the name uncultured Cytophaga sp. RNAcentral's name for it is "bacterial SSU rRNA". It matches the Rfam family "Bacterial small subunit ribosomal RNA", at positions 91 to 665 of the family's 1533-position model. Lineage: Bacteria; Pseudomonadati; Bacteroidota; Cytophagia; Cytophagales; Cytophagaceae. The record is from RNAcentral.